UGUUAAAAAUUUCAUCUAUUUAUACGGUUAAAAACCGACGUGGAUGAUAGAUAACCAACAAUGAUGUGUGGCAUGCUAUAUGUACCUCAUGUUGAUGCAUAUGGAUCCAUUUUUAACUAUUGAAAUGGAUAGAAUUUUUAACA
Molecule: non-coding RNA, 143 nt
Organism: Gossypium hirsutum (cotton)
Lineage: Eukaryota; Viridiplantae; Streptophyta; Magnoliopsida; Malvales; Malvaceae
Source: Rfam